GGGACUGUCAGGUUUCUACAUGUUAUUAAUUUUUUGGAAGGUUAAUGCGAGGCCAGUUAUAAUCACUGGCAAAAAUAAAAAAUAAAUGCAAAAAACCAAAUUAUUCCUUUAUCUCAAAGUUUAGUUAAAGCUUAAUGAAAAUACGACAAUACAUCUAAGUUUUAUUAUGUUUGGGUAUCAGCUAAUAUAAUUGCACAUAGUAGUUGAUAUUUUAUUAGAGUGCUGCUCUUAAAUAACUGUUAAGUUGAAAUAUUUGACGUGUUCAAGUAAAGUUAAAUUAAUAAAGUCAAUCUACAUUUUGCUGUAUCUAGUAAUUAGAUACCUUCUGAAAUAUUUUUAUUAACAUGGACGUGGGUUCGAGUCCCACCAGUUCCA
Molecule: transfer-messenger RNA, 375 nt
Filed under: Neoizziella asiatica
Lineage: Eukaryota; Rhodophyta; Florideophyceae; Nemaliales; Liagoraceae
Rfam family: transfer-messenger RNA
About the family: Bacterial tmRNA, also known as 10Sa RNA or SsrA, is named for its dual tRNA and mRNA-like properties. Its role is to liberate the mRNA from a stalled ribosome. To accomplish this part of the tmRNA is used as a reading frame that ends in a translation stop signal.
Source: RNAcentral